AUACGGAGGACGCGAGCGUUAUCCGGAUUCAUUGGGUUUAAAGGGUGCGCAGGCGGCCGUGCAAGUCAGCGGUGAAAGCCCGGGGCUCAACCCCGGAAGUGCCGUUGAUACUGCAUGGCUGGAAUGCGGUCGAGGCGGGCGGGAAGUGGCGUGUUGCGGUGGAAUGCGUAGAUAUUCCACAGAACGCCGAUAGCGGAGGCAGCUCGCCAGGCCUGCAGUGACGCUCGGGCACGAAAGCGUGGGGAUCGAACAGGAUUAGAUACCCUGGUAGUCCAGGCCGUAAACGAUGGGCGCUCGUCGUCGGCGGCAGACAGUCGGCGGCCAAGCGAAAGCGAUAAGCGCCCCACCUGGGGAGUACGGUCGCAAGGCUGAAACUCAAAUGAAUUGACGGGG
This 393-nucleotide ribosomal RNA is filed under the name uncultured bacterium. RNAcentral's name for it is "partial 16S ribosomal RNA". It matches the Rfam family "Bacterial small subunit ribosomal RNA", at positions 523 to 918 of the family's 1533-position model. The record is from RNAcentral.